ACCGCUCAGUAACACGUGGACAACCUACCCAAAGGUCUGGGAUAACUCCGGGAAACUGGGGAUAAUACCGGAUAGGUCAAGAGUACUGGAAGGGUUUUUUGAUUGAAAGCUCUGGCGCCUUUGGAUGGGUCUGCGGCUGAUUAGGUUGACGCCGGUGUAAAGUACCGGCGUGCCGAUUAUCAGUACGGGUUGUGGGAGCAAGAGCCCGGAGAUGGAUUCUGAGACACGAAUCCAGGCCCUACGGGGCGCAGCAGGCGCGAAAACUCUACAAUGCAGGCAACUGCGAUAGGGGAACAUCGAGUGGCAUCUACAUUAGGUGUCUGUCCAGCUGUCUAAAAAACGGCUGUUAGCAAGGGCCGGGCAAGACCGGUGCCAGCCGCCGCGGUAAUACCGGCGGCUCGAGUGGUGGCCGAUAUUAUUGAGUCUAAAGGGUCCGUAGCCGGCUUUGCAAGUCUUGUGGGAAAUCCAGCGGCUUAACCGUUGGGCGUCUGCGGGAUACUACAUUGCUUGGGACUGGGGGAGGUAGGAGGUACUCAGGGGGUAGGAGUGAAAUCCUGUAAUCCUCUGGGGACCACCGGUGGCGAAGGCGUCCUACCAGAACAGGUCCGACGGUGAGGGACGAAAGCUAGGGGCACGAACCGGAUUAGAUACCCGGGUAGUCCUAGCCGUAAACGAUGCCCGCUAGGUGUCACGGCAGUCGUGAACUGCCGUGGUGCCGUAGGGAAGCCGUGAAGCGGGCCACUUGGGAAGUACGACCGCAAGGUUGAAACUUAAAGGAAUUGGCGGGGGAGCAC
RNAcentral lists this ribosomal RNA (794 nucleotides) under uncultured archaeon. RNAcentral's name for it is "bacterial SSU rRNA". It matches the Rfam family "Archaeal small subunit ribosomal RNA", at positions 85 to 879 of the family's 1478-position model. The record is from RNAcentral.